UUGCCCUAGUACGGCGAGUGAAGCGGCAACAGCUCAAAUUUGAAGCUAGCCUUCGGGUUCGCAUUGUAAUUUAUGUAAGGAUGAUUGGGGAAGCCGCCUGUCUAAGUUCCUUGGAACAGGACGUCAUAGAGGGUGAGAAUCCCGUAUGUGACAGUGAAAUGGCACCCUAUGUAAAUCUCCUUCGACGAGUCGAGUUGUUGGGAAUGCAGCUCUAAAUGGGAGGUAAUUUCUUCUAAAGCUAAAUAUUGGCGAGAGACCGAUAGCGCACAAGUAGAGUGAUCGAAAUAUGAAAAGCACUUUGGAAAGAGAGUUAAAAAGCACGUGAAAUUGUUGAAAGGAAGCGCUUGCAAUCAGACUUGUUUAACACUGUUCGGCCGGUCUUCUGACCGGUUUACUCAGUUUGGACAGGCCAGCAUCAGUUUCGGCGGCCGGAUAAAGGCUCUGGGAAUGUGGCCUCC
Molecule: ribosomal RNA, 458 nt
Filed under: Aureobasidium pullulans
Lineage: Eukaryota; Fungi; Ascomycota; Dothideomycetes; Dothideales; Saccotheciaceae
Description: eukaryotic LSU rRNA
Rfam family: Eukaryotic large subunit ribosomal RNA
Source: RNAcentral